GCAGUCGAGCGGAUUGAUGGGAGCUUGCUCCCUGAAUCAGCGGCGGACGGGUGAGUAACACGUGGGUAACCUGCCUGUAAGACUGGGAUAACUCCGGGAAACCGGGGCUAAUACCGGAUAGUUCUUUUCCUCGCAUGAGGAAAAGUGGAAAGGCGGCUUCGGCUGCCACUUACAGAUGGACCCGCGGCGCAUUAGCUAGUUGGUGAGGUAACGGCUCACCAAGGCAACGAUGCGUAGCCGACCUGAGAGGGUGAUCGGCCACACUGGGACUGAGACACGGCCCAGACUCCUACGGGAGGCAGCAGUAGGGAAUCUUCCGCAAUGGACGAAAGUCUGACGGAGCAACGCCGCGUGAGUGAUGAAGGUUUUCGGAUCGUAAAGCUCUGUUGUUAGGGAAGAACAAGUGCCGUUCGAAUAGGGCGGCACCUUGACGGUACCUAACCAGAAAGCCACGGCUAACUACGUGCCAGCAGCCGCGGUAAUACGUAGGUGGCAAGCGUUGUCCGGAAUUAUUGGGCGUAAAGCGCGCGCAGGCGGUCUCUUAAGUCUGAUGUGAAAGCCCACGGCUCAACCGUGGAGGGUCAUUGGAAA
This 591-nucleotide ribosomal RNA is filed under the name Bacillus sp. CH32_1T. Its description in RNAcentral is "bacterial SSU rRNA". It matches the Rfam family "Bacterial small subunit ribosomal RNA", at positions 57 to 632 of the family's 1533-position model. RNAcentral also lists the same sequence under 5 other names. The record is from RNAcentral. Lineage: Bacteria; Bacillati; Bacillota; Bacilli; Caryophanales; Bacillaceae.